GUCCACACCAUCACACACACACAUCUAUACAGUCCACACCGUCACACAUCCAUACAGUCCACACCGUCAUACAAACACACACACAUCUAUACAGUCCACACCGUCACACAUCUAUACAGUCCACACCGUCAUACACACACACAUCUCUACAGUCCACACCAUCACAUACACACACACAUCUAUAUGGUCUACACCGUCACACACACACAUCUAUACAGUCCACACCGUCGUACACACACGCCCACACCCGCAUGCCCACACAUCCAUACAGUCCACAUUCACGUAUGCCCAUAUGCAUCCAUUCACACGUGUGUACACAUGCUCACACACAUUCAUAGACUCCACACAUGCACACGUGCGCACACACGCACAUGCUCGCACACAUGCACAGAUACACUCACGUCCACACACGCUCAAACAUGCGUGCACACCCGGAGG
Molecule: long non-coding RNA, 438 nt
Filed under: Pan troglodytes (chimpanzee)
Lineage: Eukaryota; Metazoa; Chordata; Mammalia; Primates; Hominidae
Description: long non-coding RNA NONPTRT007914
Source: RNAcentral